RNAcentral lists this ribosomal RNA (1513 nucleotides) under metagenome. RNAcentral describes it as "bacterial SSU rRNA". It matches the Rfam family "Bacterial small subunit ribosomal RNA". The record is from RNAcentral.
CGAGUUUGAUCCUGGCUCAGAUCGAACGCUGGCGGCGUGGCUAAAGCAUGCAAGUCGCACGCGAAAGUUCCCUUCGGGGAGCGAGUAGAGUGGCGAAAGGGCGAGGAAUCCAUGGGUAACGUACCUUGAGCAUGGGGAUAGCUGCGGGAAACUGCAGGUAAUACCUAAUGACACCACGGUUUCAUAUGGCACAGUGGUCAAAGGGCGGGGAUCCCUUCGGGGACCUGCUGGCUUGAGAGCGGCCCAUGUCCUAUCAGCUUGUUGGUAGGGUAACGGCCUACCAAGGCGACGACGGGUACCGGGACUGAGAGGUUGGCCCGGCGCAUUGGGACUGAGACACUGCCCAGACUCCUACGGAGGCUGCAGCAACGAAUAUUCCGCAAUGGACGAAAGUCUGACGGAGCGACGCCGCGUGCGGGAAUAAGCCCCUCGGGGUGUAAACCGCUGUCAGGGAUCACCAAGCGAUGAGGGUCAAUACCCCUCGGAGUUGAGGAGUCCCAGAGGAAGCCACGGCUAACUUCGUGCCAGCAGCCGCGGUAAGACGAAGGUGGCAAGCGUUGUUCGGAAUCACUGGGCUUAAAGAGCACGUAGGCGGCUUAUCAAGCGUCUUGUGAAAUCCCUCGGCUCAACCGAGGAACUGCAUGGCGAACUGAUAGGCUUGAGGCAGGUAGGGGCGCACGGAACUCUUGGUGGAGCGGUGGAAUGCGUAGAUAUCAAGAGGAACGCCGGUGGCGAAGGCGGUGCGCUGGGCCUGUCCUGACGCUGAGGUGCGAAAGCCAGGGGAGCGAACGGGAUUAGAUACCCCGGUAGUCCUGGCCCUAAACGAUGUCCACUAGGUCGAAGGUUCUCUGACGGAGUUUCGGCCGAAACAAAAGCGUUAAGUGGACCGCCUGGGGAGUACGGUCGCAAGGCUAAAACUCAAAGGAAUUGACGGGGGCUCACACAAGCGGUGGAGCAUGUUGCUUAAUUCGAUCAACGCGAAGAACCUUAUCCUGGGCUUGACAUGUACGAAUGCCUACCUGGAAACAGGGUCGGCUGCCCUUCGGGGUGAAACGUACACAGGUGCUGCAUGGCUGUCGUCAGCUCGUGUCGUGAGAUGUUGGGUUAAGUCCCGUAACGAGCGAAACCCUUGUCGCUAGUUGCCAGCGGGUUAUGCCGGGGACUCUAGCGAGACUGCCGGUGUUAAACCGGAGGAAGGUGGGGAUGACGUCAAGUCCUCAUGGCCUUUAUGCCCAGGGCUGCAAACGUGCUACAAUGACCGGUACAAACCGAUGCAAGACCGCGAGGUGGAGCAAAUCGGAAAAAGCCGGCCCCAGUUCGGAUUGGAGUCUGCAACUCGACUCCAUGAAGUCGGAAUCGCUAGUAAUCGCGUAUCAGCAUGACGCGGUGAAUGUGUUCCUGAGCCUUGUACACACCGCCCGUCAAGUCAUGGAAGCUGGGAGCACCCGAAGUCGUGUCAUUUCAGGCAUGCCGAAGGUGAGCUUGGUGACUGGGACUAAGUCGUAACAAGGUA